GCGCGAAAACUUUACCAUGCGGGCAACCGUGAUAAGGAAACCCCGAGUGCCAGCACAGGCUGGCUGUCCACCAGUGUAAAUAACUGGUGAAGAAAGGGCCGGGCAAGACCGGUGCCAGCCGCCGCGGUAAUACCGGCGGCUCGAGUGGUGGCCGCUAUUACUGGGCUUAAAGGGUCCGUAGCUGGAUAUACAAGUCCCUUGAGAAAUCCGCCGGCUUAACCGGUGGGCGUUCAGGGGAAACUGUAUUUCUAGGGACCGGGAGAGGUGAGAGGUACUGCCGGGGUAGGAGUGAAAUCCUGUAAUCCCGGUGGGACCACCUAUGGCGAAGGCAUCUCACCAGAACGGGUCCGACAGUGAGGGACGAAAGCUGGGGGAGCAAACCGG
This 384-nucleotide ribosomal RNA is filed under the name uncultured prokaryote. RNAcentral's name for it is "bacterial SSU rRNA". It matches the Rfam family "Archaeal small subunit ribosomal RNA", at positions 339 to 727 of the family's 1478-position model. The record is from RNAcentral. RNAcentral also lists the same sequence under 1 other name.